This 1239-nucleotide ribosomal RNA is filed under the name Tetradesmus obliquus. RNAcentral describes it as "eukaryotic LSU rRNA". The stretch from base 1 to 335 matches the Rfam family "Eukaryotic small subunit ribosomal RNA", at positions 1495 to 1831 of the family's 1831-position model. The record is from RNAcentral. Lineage: Eukaryota; Viridiplantae; Chlorophyta; Chlorophyceae; Sphaeropleales; Scenedesmaceae.
GCGCUACACUGAUGCAUUCAACAAGCCUAUCCUUGACCGAAGGGUCUGGGUAAUCUUUGAAACUGCAUCGUGAUGGGGAUAGAUUAUUGCAAUUAUUAGUCUUCAACGAGGAAUGCCUAGUAAGCGCAAGUCAUCAGCUUGCGUUGAUUACGUCCCUGCCCUUUGUACACACCGCCCGUCGCUCCUACCGAUUGGGUGUGCUGGUGAAGUGUUCGGAUUGGCAGCUUAGGGUGGCAACACCUCAGGUCUGCCGAGAAGUUCAUUAAACCCUCCCACCUAGAGGAAGGAGAAGUCGUAACAAGGUUUCCGUAGGUGAACCUGCGGAAGGAUCAUUGAAUUAUUAAAACCACAAUGCGAACCUAUCUGUUCCGUGCCUUAGCUGCCAGCAAGGCAAUUGGCUUGCCCAAUUGUACUUGCAAGCUGGUGCGAGUAAUUUGAUUACUUGCAUCAGUGGCGCUUUGGCAUGCUUAUACACCAGUGCUAACCACUGUCAAAACCAAACUCUGAAGCUUUGAUUGCUAUUAACUGGCAAUCUUAACCAAAGACAACUCUCAACAACGGAUAUCUUGGCUCUCGCAACGAUGAAGAACGCAGCGAAAUGCGAUACGUAGUGUGAAUUGCAGAAUUCCGUGAACCAUCGAAUCUUUGAACGCAUAUUGCGCUCGAGCCCUCGGGCAAGAGCAUGUCUGCCUCAGCGUCGGUUUAUACCCUCACCCCUCUCUCCUUUUGGAGGGCUGGUCAGCUUCUAGUUGGCCUCAGGGAUGGAUCUGGCUUUCCCAAUUGGUUCACUCCGAUUGGGUUGGCUGAAGCUUAGAGGCUUAAGCAAGGACCCGAUAUGGGCUUCAACUGGAUAGGUAGCACCGGCUUCUGCCGACUACACGAAGUUGUGGCUUGUGGACUUUGCUAGAGGCCAAGCAGGAAACAUGCUUUGCAUGUCUUAAACUUUCGACCUGAGCUCAGGCAAGGCUACCCGCUGAACUUAAGCAUAUCAAUAAGCGGAGGAAAAGAAACUAACUAGGAUGCGCUUAGUAACGGCGAGCGAACCGCGCAAAGCCCAACUUGAAAAUCUCCCUUGGAGAAUUGUAGUCUAUAGAAGUACCCUCUGUAACGGGCGCAGCUCAAGUCUCCUGGAAAGGGGCGUCAGAGAGGGUGAGAACCCCGUAAGCUGUUGCUUUGUUGCCUCACGAGGUGCUUUCAAAGAGUCGGGUUGCUUGGGAAUGCAGCCCAAAUUUGGUGGUA